GGCUUUAUAGCCUAGUGGUAUCUUGGGGGUGGGAUAAGGCUUUAGGACCAAUAGGUCCUGGGUUCGAUUCCCACAAAGGGGG
This 82-nucleotide transfer RNA is filed under the name Helianthus annuus (common sunflower). RNAcentral's name for it is "tRNA HanXRQr2_Chr16g0773681". Lineage: Eukaryota; Viridiplantae; Streptophyta; Magnoliopsida; Asterales; Asteraceae. The record is from RNAcentral.